GCUCGAGGAAAGCGGUUUGGUGUUAAGCGUCCCAAGCGAACUAAAUGUUCCAAGUGGCCCACUGACGCUGCCAUUCCCACCGCUGAUACCAACGGAUAACUGACUCUCGCCUGCGAAACCGGACACCAUACUUGUUGUCCUGUAGAAUGCAAACAUAAUUUGAGUAUUAGAGAAGUAUAAUGGUUGAUCGUAGGCGUGUAUAUUUACUGUAUCAUUUUGCUCUUUUAUAUGUUGCAAUUGCAGAUUUGCAUGUCCAGGAAUAUUUUGCGAUAUUAAUAUUAUAAUAUUAAUAGCAAAACAAAUUUCGAUCGUCGGAUGUUACACACGUGACUUGAAUUUUCGUCGGCAAAGCAGCGUAACACAGAGGAUAGCCUGGAAACUGUUUUUGCAGCUUCAACCAGUUUCGAAUUUAAUCAUUCUACGAUUUAGUUAUUAUUUCAAAUUUUGGCAAAUAUUUAUUUUCUUUUUUAAUAUUUUAGUGUUGAUCGAGUACUAUGUUUGAUUUGGUGUUCCGUGAAGGGUAACGAUCUAUAGGUCGAGGCGAGCUUUACCUAUCGGAGAUGUCGCGCUCGAGGUCGAUCAUGUCUUCAGGUAUCUCACGUCCGCUUUAAGCAGAAUACGAUGCGUAAUGACACUAAGAAAGGUGUAACGGGGAAACACGAGUUCGGUGAAAACAAACAAAUAGGACAAGGCAAAGGUAAAAAGAAGGAAGCGAUGUGGAUUUGAGGAGAACGUGGAGACGUUAACAGAAGGAACACAAAGAAGAAGAAGAAGGAGAAGAAGAAAGAUGAAAGGGGAAGAGAGAAAAGACGAGAAAGUAUGUGCAGGGCGAGAGGGAGGUCGAGGGUAUGCUUCGUUGAGCGUGGAAUCAAUAGGAGGUCACUGGCAUCAGUAGAUACAAUCGGCACAUUUUAAGUCCGUCUCGCUAUUGUACAGCUUACCUCUGAUAGAACUCAAUUUAAUGGAUUUCGAAUGUAAGGUAGUUGCACCGUGAAUUUAUUUAUGUUCGAGGCUACUUUUUCUAGUUUAAAAGGUGCGUUUAUUCUUAAUUGUUUAGUAUGUGAAAAACUGUGAGUUGGAAUUAUUUUGUGACCUGGAACGAUCCCCUAAAUAGGCGGCCCUGCAGCAUUUAUCAUUCAAAGUUAGUUUACAGUGAAAACGAGGUAACGCAACCCUAGAUUCGAUCAACUGCUUUAUAUGGUCGAUCAUUUUAACACAGCGACAAGAGUUUGUACUCGUAGGCCUGGUGUUGCAUUGUCCAACCAUGAUAUAACCAUAUAACAUGACAAAUUCCCCCACUUCUGGCCAGCAGCGUAAGCUUGCGCUGUAGGUUGCCAUAGAUACAUGUUUCUCUCAGGGUGUUCAACUUUUGAUACGAGAAGAAUAAAGUGUCAAUAUCUGGUAGAAAAUAACGAUAAUUACUGAAUCAGCGAUCGCUUCGUAAACAAUUACUUAAGUUUGAUGUUCUGUGUCGAGCGAGGGUCGACAAAAAUUGAAAUCAGAAAUUAGACAUAAUCUAGGUCGAGUCCAAGCCUAAAACAGACAGACGAGUUCGAGUUUAAACAUGAAUUUAUUUGAUCGAACUAUGAAUUACAUACCAUAACUCGAAAAUUGGAUACAAAGUAAUAGAAACGAAUUUAGUAAACGUAUUAUACUAUUACAAUUAAAUUAAGAUUACGAUUUAAAAAAGAAGCUAUCUACUCUUUGUCCUUUCAGUUGAUUUGAAUUUUGAGUUAAUCCCCUUUCCGAUUGUUGGUAUAAGUUGCGUUCGAGAGCGCAGUGCUACAAAUAUAAUUAUUUUCGUAAGGGCUAAUCAAACACAGUGUAUCCCCACUACUACCCCCAAGUUUACUUGUUGCUUAGCGACCAUCCCCUCCACUCAUAGACGUCGUGCAAUGAACGAGGUUCGCAUGCAGUAAUCGAGGUUCUUCUUUAUCUACAGGGAUUACUUUUCCGUGCAUUGGUAUUUUUUGAGCAAGUUCAUUAAAAAAAUAUCGACCUGCCACCUCCUCCACCAUUCGAGUCAUUUUCGAUAACCGUUCAAUUAAACUGUCGCAAGUUGAAUUCGGUUUCGAACCACUUUUGACAACCUUAGUCAACCGUACCCUUUGUUUUUGGAAUCGACCUUCCUUAUUUCGGUCCUACUUUCGCGGUGCAAAAGCCCAUUAACAGGCUCGAAAACGGUCGAUACAUUAUAGAAAUCGACCCUUUUCGACCCUCUUAAUUGGCUUCUGCGCCGCUUUGAAGUUCGCUCAGCCGGCUUUUAUUUUCACUGUUGUGUUUUCACAAAGAAACAUGUAGCAUCGAGGAUUUACUCAAUAGUUUUCAUGACCGGUUGACCGAAUUACUUCAAAUCUGGAGAAUGUGAAUAGGUAUGGAGGUUCCCUUCGCACAG
Long non-coding RNA from Hylaeus volcanicus, 2395 nucleotides. RefSeq lists it as uncharacterized. The transcript is spliced from 3 exons. NCBI's taxonomy places the organism in Eukaryota, Metazoa, Arthropoda, Insecta, Hymenoptera, Colletidae. The record is from RefSeq and is a predicted model, not a curated record.